ACCUUUAUUAGCUGGAGGUGACGAAAAAACGGAAUUUCCGGUUGCUCUGGCGGAGAUCCUUCGGAUCCAGGCGCAGCGAGCAACAGCUACAAGUCCGAGGACGCAAAUGAGCGCACAGAGGAGGGCGGCGAGGAUGACGACGAAGUCAGAAUCGACUUUACCGAUCCCGGUGGUUGCAGACGGCGACGGAGGCGACGGUGAUGGAUCAGAA
Molecule: unclassified non-coding RNA, 211 nt
Filed under: Hevea brasiliensis (rubber tree)
Lineage: Eukaryota; Viridiplantae; Streptophyta; Magnoliopsida; Malpighiales; Euphorbiaceae
Source: RNAcentral